CCCUUUGUGAACUACCUAUAACUGUUGCUUCGGCGGGUAGGGUCUCCGUGACCCUCCCGGCCUCCCGCCCCCCCGGGCGGGUCGGCGCCCGCCGGAGGAUAACCAAACUCUGAUUUAACGACGUUUCUUCUGAGUGGUACAAGCAAAUAAUCAAAACUUUUAACAACGGAUCUCUUGGUUCUGGCAUCGAUGAAGAACGCAGCGAAAUGCGAUAAGUAAUGUGAAUUGCAGAAUUCAGUGAAUCAUCGAAUCUUUGAACGCACAUUGCGCCCGCCAGCAUUCUGGCGGGCAUGCCUGUUCGAGCGUCAUUUCAACCCUCAAGCUCUGCUUGGUGUUGGGGCCCUACAGCCGAUGUAGGCCCUCAAAGGUAGUGGCGGACCCUCCCGGAGCCUCCUUUGCGUAGUAACUUUACGUCUCGCACUGGGAUCCGGAGGGACUCUUGCCGUAAAACCCCCCAAUUUUCCAAAGGUUGACCUCGGAUCAGGUAGGAAUACCCGCUGAACUUAAGCAUAU
Molecule: ribosomal RNA, 513 nt
Filed under: Colletotrichum fragariae
Lineage: Eukaryota; Fungi; Ascomycota; Sordariomycetes; Glomerellales; Glomerellaceae
Description: eukaryotic LSU rRNA
Rfam family: 5.8S ribosomal RNA (bases 155-308)
Source: RNAcentral